GACGAACGCUGGCGGCGUGCUUAACACAUGCAAGUCGAACGGAGUGGCGAACGGGUGAGUAACACGUGGGUGACCUGCCCUGCACUUCGGGAUAAGCCUGGGAAACUGGGUCUAAUACCGGAUAGUGUGGGAUGGGCCCGCGGCCUAUCAGCUUGUUGGUGGGGUAAUGGCCUACCAAGGCGGCGACGGGUAGCCGGCCGGGGCGGGUGGACGGCCACAUGGGUACUGGGACACGGCGCAGACUCCGACGGGAGGCAGCAGGGUGGAAUAUUGCACAAUGGGCGGAAGCCUGAUGGAGCGACGCUGCGUGGGGGAUGACGGUAUUCGGGUUGUAAACUCCUUUCACCAUCGACGCGGUAGAUGGAGAAGAAGCACCGGCUAACUACGUGCCAGCCGCCGCGGUAAUUC
Molecule: ribosomal RNA, 408 nt
Filed under: uncultured bacterium
Lineage: Bacteria
Description: partial 16S ribosomal RNA
Rfam family: Bacterial small subunit ribosomal RNA
Source: RNAcentral